GGCUCCUCAACCACACCAACCUUAACGGAAGAGCAGAGCUGAGGUACGGAAUUCUUAUGGGAAAUAACACUGGCGGCGAUGUUGCGUGAUAUGCCAACAAAUUGGAGAUCACCAUUAGUAUCAUACACAGCAUAUACACCAGAUUCCUUCGGGAAGCUUCCAGCGAUUUCAUCAGACUGCAGAGGCACGGUUAAAGGGUCUGUUUCAGAAAGCUUUUUCAGAGCAGCAACAACGAUGCUCGCAUGGUGGCGAGUGGUGGUUCUGGUUUUGGGACGGAGAGUAAUGGAAGGGAAGCGAAAGGAGGUUUUGGGAAGUGAAUAUGAAGAGAAAGAAGGGGUAUUUUGGGAAGAGAAAAUGGCAGGUUGUGUGAGAAAUGAGAUGUUGAAGGUCG
This 391-nucleotide unclassified non-coding RNA is filed under the name Hevea brasiliensis (rubber tree). The record is from RNAcentral. Lineage: Eukaryota; Viridiplantae; Streptophyta; Magnoliopsida; Malpighiales; Euphorbiaceae.